UUGGGAAGCAAUCCUGGGAUGCUGGAGUGGGGAAGAAAAGAGAGUAAGACAGAAAAGGAAGCAAAGCCAGUUUAAGUAUAAAGAUAACCACAGUGGGCAGUGGGAAUCCAUUCUGCCACAAGCUGCUGAGAAGGAAAUAAAUAGGUCCUAGAAUUUUCAUCCUAAAGGACAGGAGCUGGAUCACUUAUCCAUGAGUUAUCGUCUCCCACUCUUGAGGGUUGCUCCAUGACUCCAAGCUUGGCUGCGUUGGCUCCUGUACAUCAGAGACUAUGCUAAGGGCAGACGGAAUCACCAGGAGUCAACAAUGAUAAACUCAUCCUAAAUGCAAGAUGUCUUCAAAAGAUAUGUCUCAGUGCUCAAGAGCUCUGGGGCUAUGAUUGGAGAUGAGCUCAAGACACAGACAGGAUCAGAGAGGCCAGGAUUUCAGCAUUGCUCAAGAUCAUUUCUGAUAACUUUUGAUUCUGUCAUCUAAACACAGACUAAGAGAGAGAAAAAGUAGGGAUUUUUCCCCCCCUUAAUUUCAGGAACCAAAGAUCUAAAGAGUGAAUAAAAUGGAUAUAAUAAAAAGGGUUUAGAAACUUCAA
This is a long non-coding RNA of Odocoileus virginianus texanus, 584 nucleotides long. RefSeq lists it as uncharacterized. The record is from RefSeq and is a predicted model, not a curated record. NCBI's taxonomy places the organism in Eukaryota, Metazoa, Chordata, Mammalia, Artiodactyla, Cervidae.